AGUCGCCGCGGUAAUACGAAGGGUGCAAGCGUUAAUCGGAAUUACUGGGCGUAAAGCGUGCGUAGGCGGUUUGUUAAGUCUGUUGUGAAAUCCCCGGGCUCAACCUGGGAAUGGCAAUGGAUACUGGCAAGCUAGAGUGUGUCAGAGGAUGGUGGAAUUCCCGGUGUAGCGGUGAAAUGCGUAGAGAUCGGGAGGAACAUCAGUGGCGAAGGCGGCCCUCUGGGACAACACUGACGCUGAGGCACGAAAGCGUGGGGAGCAAACAGGAUUAGAUACCCGUGUAGUCCCUGUCUCUUAUACA
RNAcentral lists this ribosomal RNA (301 nucleotides) under uncultured bacterium. Its description in RNAcentral is "partial 16S ribosomal RNA". It matches the Rfam family "Bacterial small subunit ribosomal RNA", at positions 510 to 808 of the family's 1533-position model. The record is from RNAcentral.